This 1374-nucleotide ribosomal RNA is filed under the name Campylobacter concisus. RNAcentral's name for it is "bacterial SSU rRNA". It matches the Rfam family "Bacterial small subunit ribosomal RNA". Lineage: Bacteria; Pseudomonadati; Campylobacterota; Epsilonproteobacteria; Campylobacterales; Campylobacteraceae. The record is from RNAcentral.
ACGCUGGCGGCGUGCCCAAUACAUGCAAGUCGAACGGACAAGUAAGAGCUUGCUCUUAUGAGUUAGUGGCGCACGGGUGAGUAAUGUAUAGCUAAUCUGCCCUACACUAGAGGACAACAGUUGGAAACGGCUGCUAAUACUCUAUACUCCUGUCUUACAUAAGUUAGAUAGGGAAAGUUUUAUCGGUGUAGGAUGAGGCUUUAUUGUAUCAGCUAGUUGGUGAGGUAAUGGCUCACCAAGGCUAUGACGCAUAACUGGUCUGAGAGGAUGAUCAGUCACACUGGAACUGAGACACGGUCCAGACUCCCACGGGAGGCAGCAGUAGGGAAUAUUGCUCAAUGGGGGAAACCCUGAAGCAGCAACGCCGCGUGGAGGAUGACACUUUUCGGAGCGUAAACUCCCUUUGUUAGGGAAGAAUAAUGACGGUACCUAACGAAUAAGCACCGGCUAACUCCGUGCCAGCAGCCGCGGUAAUACGGAGGGUGCCAGCGUUACUCGGAAUCACUGGGCGUAAAGGACGCGUAGGCGGAUUUUCAAGUCUCUUGUGAAAUCCUAUGGCUUAACCAUAGAACUGCUUGGGAAACUGGUAAUCUAGAGUUAGGGAGAGGCAGAUGGAAUUGGUGGUGUAGGGGUAAAAUCCGUAGAGAUCACCAGGAAUACCCAUUGCGAAGGCGAUCUGCUGGAACUCAACUGACGCUAAUGCGUUAAAGCGUGGGGAGCAAACAGGAUUUGAUACCCUGGUAGUCCACGCCCUUAACGAUGUAUACUAGUUGUUGCUAAGCUAGUCUUGGCAGUAAUGCACCUAACGGAUUUAGUAUACCGCCCGGGGAGUACGGUCGCAAGAUUUAAACUCAAAGGAAUAGACGGGGACCCGCACAAGCGGUGGAGCAUGUGGUUUAAUUCGAAGAUACGCGAAGAACCUUACCCGGACUUGAUAUCUAACAAAUCAUCUAGAGAUAGAAGAGUGUCUGCUUGCAGAAAUGUUAAGACAGGUGCUGCACGGCUGUCGUCAGCUCGUGUCGUGGAUGUUGGGUUUAGUCCCGCAACGAGCGCAACCCACGUCAUUUGUUGCUAACAGUUCGGCUGAGCACUCUAAUGAGACUGCCCUCGUAAGGAGGAGGAAGGUGUGGACGACGUCAAGUCAUCAUGGCCCUUAUGUCCGGGGCGACACACGUGCUACAAUGGCAUAUACAAUGAGAAGCAAUAUCGCGAGAUGGAGGAAAUCUAUAAAAUAUGUCCCAGUUCGGAUUGGAGUCUGCAACUCGACUCCAUGAAGCCGGAAUCGCUAGUAAUCGUAGAUCAGCCAUGCUACGGUGAAUACGUUCCCGGGUCUUGUACUCACCGCCCGUCACACCAUGGGAGUUGAUUUCACUC